GACGAACGCUGGCGGCGUGCCUAAUACAUGCAAGUUGAGCGCUGAAGGUUGGUACUUGUACCAACUGGAUGAGCAGCGAACGGGUGAGUAACGCGUGGGGAAUCUGCCUUUGAGCGGGGGACAACAUUUGGAAACGAAUGCUAAUACCGCAUAAAAACUUUAAACACAAGUUUUAAGUUUGAAGGAUGCAAUUGCAUCACUCAAAGAUGAUCCCGCGUUGUAUUAGCUAGUUGGUGAGGUAAAGGCUCACCAAGGCGAUGAUACAUAGCCGACCUGAGAGGGUGGUCGGCCACAUUGGGACUGAGACACGGCCCAAACUCCUACGGGAGGCAGCAGUAGGGAAUCUUCGGCAAGGGACGAAAGUCUGACCGAGCAACGCCGCGUGAGUGAAGAAGGUUGUCGGAUCGUAAAACUCUGUUGGUAGAGAAGAACGUUGGUGAGAGUGGAAAGCUCAUCAAGUGACGGUAACUACCCAGAAAGGGACGGCUAACUACGUG
RNAcentral lists this ribosomal RNA (497 nucleotides) under uncultured bacterium. RNAcentral describes it as "partial 16S ribosomal RNA". It matches the Rfam family "Bacterial small subunit ribosomal RNA", at positions 28 to 507 of the family's 1533-position model. The record is from RNAcentral.